RNAcentral lists this ribosomal RNA (543 nucleotides) under uncultured Bacteroidota bacterium. RNAcentral describes it as "bacterial SSU rRNA". It matches the Rfam family "Bacterial small subunit ribosomal RNA", at positions 38 to 578 of the family's 1533-position model. The record is from RNAcentral. Lineage: Bacteria; Pseudomonadati; Bacteroidota.
AGCGGCAGGCCUAAUACAUGCAAGUCGGACGGGAUAGGAGAGCUUGCUUUCCUUGAGAGUGGCGCACGGGUGCGUAACACGUAUGUAACCUACCUUUAUCAGGGGGAUAGCCUCUCGAAAGAGAGAUUAAGCCCGCAUAAUAUGAAGACACAGCAUUGUGAUUUCAUCAAAUAUUUAUAGGAUAAAGAUGGGCAUGCGGAACAUUAGCUAGUUGGUAAGGUAAUGGCUUACCAAGGCUACGAUGUUUAGGGGAUCUGAGAGGAUGACCCCCCACGCUGGUACUGAGACACGGACCAGACUCCUACGGGAGGCAGCAGUAAGGAAUAUUGGUCAAUGGGCGCAAGCCUGAACCAGCCAUGCCGCGUGCAGGAAGACGGCCCUACGGGUUGUAAACUGCUNNUAUACGGGAAUAAACCUACUUACGUGUAAGUAGCUGAAUGUACUGUAAGAAUAAGGAUCGGCUAACUCCGUGCCAGCAGCCGCGGUAAUACGGANGAUCCAAGCGUUAUCCGGAUUUAUUGGGUUUAAAGGGUGCGUAGGCGG